UACGUAGGGAGCAAGCGUUGUCCGGAAUCAUUGGGCGUAAAGCGCGCGUAGGUGGUCCUAUAAGUCCGCUGUGAAAGUCAAAGGCUCAACCUUUGAAAGCCGGUGGAUACUGUGGGACUAGAGUACGGAAGAGGCGAGUGGAAUUCCUGGUGUAGCGGUGGAAUGCGCAGAUAUCAGGAGGAACACCAAUAGCGAAGGCAGCUCGCUGGGACGUUACUGACACUGAGGCGCGAAAGCGUGGGGAGCGAACAGG
This 253-nucleotide ribosomal RNA is filed under the name uncultured bacterium. RNAcentral's name for it is "partial 16S ribosomal RNA". It matches the Rfam family "Bacterial small subunit ribosomal RNA", at positions 524 to 776 of the family's 1533-position model. The record is from RNAcentral.